This 504-nucleotide ribosomal RNA is filed under the name uncultured bacterium. RNAcentral describes it as "bacterial SSU rRNA". It matches the Rfam family "Bacterial small subunit ribosomal RNA", at positions 25 to 518 of the family's 1533-position model. The record is from RNAcentral.
CAGGAUGAGCGCUAGCUACAGGCUUAACACAUGCAAGUCGAGGGGCAGCAUGAUCAAAGCUUGCUUGAUUGAUGGCGACCGGCGCACGGGUGAGUAACGCGUAUCCAACCUUCCCUAUAGUAGUGGAUAGCCCGGCGAAAGUCGGAUUAAUACACUAUGUUGUAUUUAGAGGACAUCUGAAGAAUACCAAAGGCUUGCCGCUAUAGGAUGGGGAUGCGUCUGAUUAGAUAGUAGGCGGGGUAACGGCCCACCUAGUCGACGAUCAGUAGGGGUUCUGAGAGGAAGGUCCCCCACAUUGGAACUGAGACACGGUCCAAACUCCUACGGGAGGCAGCAGUGAGGAAUAUUGGUCAAUGGGCGCGAGCCUGAACCAGCCAAGUAAGCGUGCAGGAUGACGGCCCUAUGGGUUGUAAACUGCUUUUAUCGGGGGAUAAAGUCACCCACGUGUGGGUGUUUGUAGGUACCCGAUGAAUAAGGACCGGCUAAUUCCGUGCCAGCCGCUGC